AUUGAACGCUGGCGGCAGGCCUAACACAUGCACGUCGAGCGAGCGGAGGGGGGGUGCGUAAUGUAUGGGGACUGCCGGAUAGCGAGGGAUAACUACUGGAAACGGUAGAUAAUACCGCAUACAAUCGGAUAAGCCAUAUGGGAUGAGCUAGUAGGUGAGGUAAUUGCUCACGUGGGGGACGAUCACUAGCUGGUUGGAGAGGAUGAUCAGCCACACGGGGACUGAGACACGGCCCAGACUCCGACGGAGGCAGCAGUGGGUAAUAUGGGACAAUGGGCGAAAGCCUGAUGCAGCCAUGCCGCGUGUAUGAAGAAGGCCCUAGGGUUGUAAAGUACUUUCAGUCGGGAGGCGUUACCGACAGAAGAAGCACCGGCUAACUCCGUGCCAGCAGCCGCGGUAAUUC
This 403-nucleotide ribosomal RNA is filed under the name uncultured bacterium. Its description in RNAcentral is "partial 16S ribosomal RNA". It matches the Rfam family "Bacterial small subunit ribosomal RNA", at positions 29 to 526 of the family's 1533-position model. The record is from RNAcentral.